CUGCUCCCCUGCUCCCCUGCAGGGCUGGGACUGGGCACUCUCUCUUUUUCCUUGUCACUGAAUUUUAUAGGCUACUCUUUCCACUUCUCUGCCAAGACAGGGCUAUCCCCCAUCCAUUUUAAAUGCUUCAAAAUGAAGACUUCUUCCUCAACUAGAACUUUUGAACUGUGCCUUUGAUUUCCUGUUCUUCUCUUUUUUAAUGAAGUCAAGUGGUAGGGCAAUAAUCUCAAGGAAUUUUCCAGCCCCUGGAGAUCCCUGCAAGAAGGGUCCAUCAGGGAGGGGGUGAAUUCAUUGCUAUUUUGGGCUUCGGAAGUGGGAGUAGUGAGUUGAGUUGCCUCCCGUCGCCUGCACCACGGGGCGCGUGUAAAAUCUCUGCAAACAGUCCCAGUGUGCUUAUAAAACCUCAGGUCACUGACAAUUGCAGUGCUCAUUUGCUGUGGCCAAUUUAGCACUAAUAAGCUGAAACUGGGCUUCAGGGAUUUGUUGCCAUGGCAUGUAAACUCCCUUUAGAAACACAUUUCCCAACAAGAGAUUGCAGCCUAAUAGAUUUUUCCCCCUUCUCCAUUUUUGUAAACUGACUUGUAGCUCAUUUUGGAAGCAUUUCCCCAUUAGCUGACUCUCUGCUGCCAUCUUUGUCAGUGCUG
This 644-nucleotide long non-coding RNA is filed under the name Homo sapiens (human). RNAcentral's name for it is "HSALNT0120053". Lineage: Eukaryota; Metazoa; Chordata; Mammalia; Primates; Hominidae. The record is from RNAcentral.